Molecule: ribosomal RNA, 251 nt
Filed under: uncultured prokaryote
Description: partial 16S rRNA
Rfam family: Bacterial small subunit ribosomal RNA
Source: RNAcentral
ACGGAGGAUGCGAGCGUUAUCCGGAUUUAUUGGGUUUAAAGGGUGCGUAGGCGGAUCAAUAAGUCAGUGGUGAAAUUCUGCAGCUUAACUGUAGACUUGCCAUUGAUACUGUUGGUCUUGAGUAUGGUCAAGGUAGGCGGAAUGUGUAAUGUAGCGGUGAAAUGCUUAGAUAUUACACAGAACACCGAUUGCGAAGGCAGCUUGCUGGGCCAAUACUGACGCUGAUGCACGAAAGCGUGGGGAUCGAACAG